UGGGUUGUGGCUCAGUGUCAGAGUGCAUGCCUUGCACAUGUGUGAUGCUGAGUUCGAUCCUCAGCACUACAA
RNAcentral lists this transfer RNA (72 nucleotides) under Marmota monax (woodchuck). It matches the Rfam family "tRNA". Rfam says of the family: Transfer RNA (tRNA) molecules are approximately 80 nucleotides in length. Their secondary structure includes four short double-helical elements and three loops (D, anti-codon, and T loops). Lineage: Eukaryota; Metazoa; Chordata; Mammalia; Rodentia; Sciuridae. The record is from Rfam by way of RNAcentral.